GUGACGAUGUGGAGAUCUUACGGAGUGCAGUUCCGGUUAAAACUUCAGUUUCACCUGUUUCCCGCAACCUUCCAAUUUUUAGUGGAGAAAGUGACAUAAGAAGUUUGUCAUUGUCAAAUGUGGCUCCAACUUUGAGAGCGUGAAAAUAAGGCAACAUUAACAGGUUUCAUCGAGGGACACAACAAAAACAAGACACAAGAUAUUAACAGUUUGAGUAAUUAAAGGUGAUGGGUACUGUGGAAGAGAGCGUGGUGGCGGUCUUCAGUACAGACGGCUGCGGGGCGAUAACAACUGGUGACUGAGUGGCAGUUGUAACCAAAGCCUGGGAGGGAACAAGUUUGGUGAGCGUUGGAGGAGCUGUGGCUUUGGGCAGAACCGCAGCAGAAGUUGCAACAGCUGCAGGUCCGUUCCCUACUGUGGCAAUGAUCUGGCCCUGGGUGUUGAGAAGCAGCUGUGGGGUGACGGUCUGGACCUGG
This is a long non-coding RNA of Chelmon rostratus (copperband butterflyfish), 476 nucleotides long. RefSeq lists it as uncharacterized. The transcript is spliced from 3 exons. The record is from RefSeq and is a predicted model, not a curated record. Lineage: Eukaryota; Metazoa; Chordata; Actinopteri; Chaetodontiformes; Chaetodontidae.